This 1118-nucleotide long non-coding RNA is filed under the name Homo sapiens (human). RNAcentral's name for it is "long intergenic non-protein coding RNA, p53 induced transcript". The record is from RNAcentral. Lineage: Eukaryota; Metazoa; Chordata; Mammalia; Primates; Hominidae.
GUCACAUGAUGGACAUGAUAUAAUGAAACAACAUUGUGGAGAGGAAAGCAUUAGGGGAGCCCACGGCUACAAAAACAAGUGAGUGAGAAGAGGUGGGAGGAAGAGAAACUACGCCACCUCCCCUGCAGCCGAGUGCACGCAGCAGCCUGGCGUGACAAGUGGGCGACGCCGGGGGGCAGGGAGCCGGGGUCCUUGGCCCUGGCCGGGGACCCCACCGCCCACCGCGCGGAGGACAACUUUUAGCCGGCAGCCCAGACCAGCGCGGCACCUGUCUCCGGAGUCUCCACCGCUCCUCCCGAUUCAUCCCAGGGAAAUUCUCAAGAAUACGCUCUACAAAUCUACGUGCGCAUCAUUUUCACCUCGCGUCGCGCCCGGGAGGAAGGAACGAGGCAAGGAGCUAAAGCAGCGUGCGUUCAGCCCUGGGGCAUUUUAUUAAUGCUUUUACGAGUUAGAAGAGUUGGGAUAAUUUGCCAUCUGGAGUUUCUCUGCCUUGCUGAUCUGAGCUCAGACCUGCCAAUUUACCAGAGAUAAUUGAUAACACCCUGUAACAGCUGAGAGGAAAAUGGAAGAAACGGAGAUACUUUUAGUGAAGCAGAAUAAACCACUGAACAGAUGGAGUCUCACUCUGUUGCCCAGACUGGAAUGCAGUGGUGUGAUCUCAACUGACUGCAACCUCCGUAUCCUGGGUUCAAGCAACUCUCCUGCUGCAGCCACGAAAAAUGAGGAAGCUGUGAGUACCAGUGGAAGGAACGAGCCAGGAAGAGGGACUGGAACCAUCUCAGAAGCCAUGCCCCUCAGGCUGGAACUUGCCCUGUCUCCUCGCAGAUGAGACUGAGUGUACUUGGUCUGGUAUUUGUGGCAUAACUUACGGAACACAUAAGAAUGAUACAGAUACUAUUUAAUGAUGACCUAAUACAAGCUUAGAUAGCUAAGGUGAAAGCUUCUAUGGCCUUAACAUUUUCCUCUUGAAGAAUGUAUUUUCUGUAAUAAAAUACAGUGGCUACUUGAAAUCUAUAAACUUAUGUGAGGUCUGGAUAAAUCUGAGCAACUUUCUUCUUUGUGCUCCAGGAACCUACGCACUAUAUAUAUAAAUAAAGCUUAAGUAAACAUCACUGCAA